UACAGAGGUCUCAAGCGUUGUUCGGAUUCAUUGGGCGUAAAGGGUGCGUAGGCGGCGCGGUAAGUCGGGUGUGAAAUCUCGGAGCUUAACUCCGAAACUGCAUUCGAUACUGCCGUGCUUGAGGACUGGAGAGGAGACUGGAAUUUACGGUGUAGCGGUGAAAUGCGUAGAUAUCGUAAGGAAGACCAGUGGCGAAGGCGGCUCACUGGCCCGGUACUGACGCUGAGGCACGAAAGCGUGGGGAGCAAACAGG
Molecule: ribosomal RNA, 253 nt
Filed under: uncultured bacterium
Lineage: Bacteria
Description: partial 16S ribosomal RNA
Rfam family: Bacterial small subunit ribosomal RNA
Source: RNAcentral